UAUUCAUAUUAAGCGCCAGAGCUGUGUUUUAGGGUAGGAGCAGCUGACGAGGUGAAGGUUAAUCGAUUUUUCGGCGGAUGCCUUCCGGCUGGAUAUCUCAGUCGUAGUCUUCAAACAAAACUAAGAGGUAACUCUUACGACAAAAUUGAAGAAAAAGAUAAAU
Turicibacter sanguinis PC909 is the source of this 163-nucleotide non-coding RNA. Lineage: Bacteria; Bacillati; Bacillota; Erysipelotrichia; Erysipelotrichales; Turicibacteraceae. The record is from Rfam.